RNAcentral lists this ribosomal RNA (919 nucleotides) under uncultured Lactobacillus sp. RNAcentral's name for it is "bacterial SSU rRNA". It matches the Rfam family "Bacterial small subunit ribosomal RNA", at positions 64 to 964 of the family's 1533-position model. Lineage: Bacteria; Bacillati; Bacillota; Bacilli; Lactobacillales; Lactobacillaceae. The record is from RNAcentral.
GAUCGGUGCUUGCACCGAGAUUCAACAUGGUAACGAGUGGCGGACGGGUGAGUAACACGUGGGUAACCUGCCCUUAAGUGGGGGAUAACAUUUGGAAACAGAUGCUAAUACCGCAUAGAUCCAAGAACCGCAUGGUUCUUGGCUGAAAGAUGGCGUAAGCUAUCGCUUUUGGAUGGACCCGCGGCGUAUUAGCUAGUUGGUGAGGUAAUGGCUCACCAAGGCGAUGAUACGUAGCCGAACUGAGAGGUUGAUCGGCCACAUUGGGACUGAGACACGGCCCAAACUCCUACGGGAGGCAGCAGUAGGGAAUCUUCCACAAUGGACGCAAGUCUGAUGGAGCAACGCCGCGUGAGUGAAGAAGGCUUUCGGGUCGUAAAACUCUGUUGUUGGAGAAGAAUGGUCGGCAGAGUAACUGUUGUCGGCGUGACGGUAUCCAACCAGAAAGCCACGGCUAACUACGUGCCAGCAGCCGCGGUAAUACGUAGGUGGCAAGCGUUAUCCGGAUUUAUUGGGCGUAAAGCGAGCGCAGGCGGUUUUUUAAGUCUGAUGUGAAAGCCCUCGGCUUAACCGAGGAAGCGCAUCGGAAACUGGGAAACUUGAGUGCAGAAGAGGACAGUGGAACUCCAUGUGUAGCGGUGAAAUGCGUAGAUAUAUGGAAGAACACCAGUGGCGAAGGCGGCUGUCUGGUCUGUAACUGACGCUGAGGCUCGAAAGCAUGGGUAGCGAACAGGAUUAGAUACCCUGGUAGUCCAUGCCGUAAACGAUGAAUGCUAGGUGUUGGAGGGUUUCCGCCCUUCAGUGCCGCAGCUAACGCAUUAGCAUUCCGCCUGGGGAGUACGACCGCAAGGUUGAAACUCACAGGAAUUGACGGGGGCCCGCACAAGCGGUGGAGCAUGUGGUUUAUUUCGAAGCACCGCGA